CGCAGGCGGUUCGGUAAGUCGGUCUUAAAAGUGCGGGGCUUAACCCCGUGAUGGGAUUGAAACUGCCGGACUGGAGUGUCGGAGAGGAAAGCAGAAUUCCUAGUGUAGCGGUGAAAUGCGUAGAUAUUAGGAGGAAUACCAGUGGCGAAAGCGGCUUUCUGGACGACAACUGACGCUGAGGCGCGAAAGCCAGGGGAGCAAACG
Molecule: ribosomal RNA, 204 nt
Filed under: uncultured bacterium
Lineage: Bacteria
Description: partial 16S ribosomal RNA
Rfam family: Bacterial small subunit ribosomal RNA
Source: RNAcentral